Molecule: unclassified non-coding RNA, 150 nt
Organism: Pongo abelii (Sumatran orangutan)
Lineage: Eukaryota; Metazoa; Chordata; Mammalia; Primates; Hominidae
Rfam family: Metazoan signal recognition particle RNA
About the family: The signal recognition particle (SRP) is a universally conserved ribonucleoprotein. It is involved in the co-translational targeting of proteins to membranes.
Source: Ensembl
GCCAGGCAUAUUGAUGCAUGCCUGUAGUUCCAGCUACUCAGGAGGCUAAGGUGGGAGGAUCGCUGGAACCCAGGAGGUCAGGGCUGCAGUGUGAGCCAAGAUGGCGCCACUGCAGUCCAGCCUGGGUGACAGAGCGAGACCCUGUCUCAA